UCCCUGAUGGCUCAGUGGCAAAAGAAUCUGCUUGCCAAGGCAGAAGACACAGGUUCAAUCCCUGGUCUGGGGA
Molecule: transfer RNA, 73 nt
Filed under: Ovis aries (sheep)
Lineage: Eukaryota; Metazoa; Chordata; Mammalia; Artiodactyla; Bovidae
Rfam family: tRNA
About the family: Transfer RNA (tRNA) molecules are approximately 80 nucleotides in length. Their secondary structure includes four short double-helical elements and three loops (D, anti-codon, and T loops). Further hydrogen bonds mediate the characteristic L-shaped molecular structure. tRNAs have two regions of fundamental functional importance: the anti-codon, which is responsible for specific mRNA codon recognition, and the 3' end, to which the tRNAs corresponding amino acid is attached (by aminoacyl-tRNA synthetases). tRNAs cope with the degeneracy of the genetic code in two manners: having more than one tRNA (with a specific anti-codon) for a particular amino acid; and 'wobble' base-pairing, i.e. permitting non-standard base-pairing at the 3rd anti-codon position.
Source: Rfam by way of RNAcentral